UACGUAUGUUGCAAGCGUUACUCGGAAUCACUGGGCGUAAAGCGUACGUAGGCGGACUUAUAAGUCAGAGGUGAAAUUUCGGAGCUCAACUCCGGAGCUGCCUUUGAAACUGUAAGUCUUGAGUAUUUGAGGGGUAGAUGGAAUUCCAGGUGUAGCGGUGGAAUGCGUAGAUAUCUGGAAGAACACCGGUGGCGAAGGCGGUCUACUGGCAAAAUACUGACGCUGAGGUACGAAAGCGUGGGGAGCGAACAGG
Molecule: ribosomal RNA, 253 nt
Filed under: uncultured bacterium
Lineage: Bacteria
Description: partial 16S ribosomal RNA
Rfam family: Bacterial small subunit ribosomal RNA
Source: RNAcentral